CUACUACACCCUCCGUCCUAAAUUAUUUGAUGCAUAUUUGUCUAGAUAUGGAUGUAUCUACACAGCUUGUAUUUACAUCCAUAUCUAGACAAAUACGCAUCAGCUAAUUCGGGACAGAAGGAGUAUAUA
Molecule: non-coding RNA, 129 nt
Organism: Hordeum vulgare subsp. vulgare (domesticated barley)
Lineage: Eukaryota; Viridiplantae; Streptophyta; Magnoliopsida; Poales; Poaceae
Source: Rfam